AGAUAUGCUCUGGACAAAUGAUUUCUACAGACAAAUGGAUGGACAAGGUGAUUCCAGUACAACUAGCUUGGAGCAGAGGAGUGGUGGUGGUGGUGGUGGAUAGUAAAGAAUUCUAAUUCUACUACCCACACCUAAGCUUGGAGAGACAUAAUUUCCACUGUCGUCUGGAGAUAGGAUGGGCAUCCUCAGUUUAAUGCUGCGAGAGUUGACAAUGGAAACAUAUUGCGAUGGAAUCAUUUCGUUUCUGUUCCUUGUGAAGUACAUAGACCGGGAAUCCUCGUCUAAUGGCUUGGUCAGAUUACAGGACAGGACCAGCUCAUCACCAAUGAAGACAUAGGGAUCGUUGGGAACAACCACUACAGAAACAACAAGUUUCUCAUUGUACUUUUGUGAAAAGUAAAUUUGUCAAAACAGCUCUGAAAAUCAGAUAGCUGCAGAUCUGUACCAAUAUUUUCACAGUGAGCUACAGAUCUGCAGCUAGAACUAUCCAUAAAAAAAAUAAAAAACAAGAGGCCCAUGGGCCACAUCGCUAACCUGAGUCACCUUGGCCCAUAUCCAUACAUAUGCACUAUGUCAGGAAGCUUCCAUGUAAAAUUGCACUUUCCUGAGGCAGUGGUUCUUGAAAAGAUCUCUUUCACGUAAAUUUCAGCUCCUCUGGCCCAGUGGUUCUCGAGAAGAUUUUUAAAUGACCCCACCCUAUUUUUGAGAUUAUCUCCCCUUUAAAGGGGGCAUGGGCCUUCAUCUGAACAAAGUUAAAAGCCCUUCUCCCAAGUAUAUGCUUUGUGCAAAGUUUGGUUGAAAAUGGCCCAGUGGUUCUGGAGAUGAAAAUGUGAAAAGUUUACGCCGACGGCAACGAUGCCGACAAACAACGGACAAAUUUUGAUCAGAAAAGCUCACUUGGCUCAGGUGAGCUAAAAAGUUAAAGGUGCUGAUUUUAUCAUGUGUAAGUGUUUAUUUAAGAAAUGAAUUUCAUUUUUGAAAAUACAUGAGAGUAUGAACUGCAAUGCUUCAUACUGGCAUAUAUUUUAUGAAACAUGGCAAAGUUUAGCCACAAUGAAGUGUUGCAGUUCAUAUCCUCAUGUAUUUACAACAACAACAAAAAAUUCUGCUUUCUUUUCUGUCAGAAUUCCCUGCCAUUAAACAGAUCCAUGACAGAUGUACUAUAUUCACCAAAAUUCAUACAUGCAUAGUCAAUAAUAUCAAUCAAGUGAUCAUCAGGGGUACCCUUCAAUUGAAAUAGCUCCCUAUCUCUCCAUCUGUUUUUACACCAGGCAAUUAAGAAAGCCCAGCAUAAGGUACUGUCAAUAAACUACACCCAAGCCUACGUUAAGAGCUGUUUUCAUGUAAUAAAAUUAGCCAAACCAAAA
Ostrea edulis (European flat oyster) is the source of this 1367-nucleotide long non-coding RNA. RefSeq lists it as uncharacterized. The transcript is spliced from 2 exons. Lineage: Eukaryota; Metazoa; Mollusca; Bivalvia; Ostreida; Ostreidae. The record is from RefSeq and is a predicted model, not a curated record.